This 258-nucleotide ribosomal RNA is filed under the name uncultured bacterium. Its description in RNAcentral is "partial 16S ribosomal RNA". It matches the Rfam family "Bacterial small subunit ribosomal RNA", at positions 30 to 288 of the family's 1533-position model. The record is from RNAcentral.
AUUGAACGCUGGCGGCAUGCCUUACACAUGCAAGUCGAACGGCAGCACGGGAGCAAUCCUGGUGGCGAGUGGCGAACGGGUGAGUAAUAUAUCGGAACGUGCCCAGUCGUGGGGAUAACGUAGCGAAAGCUACGCUAAUACCGCAUACGAUCUAUGGAUGAAAGCGGGGGGAUCGCAAGACCUCGCGCGAUUGGAGCGGCCGAUAUCAGAUUAGGUAGUUGGUGAGGUAAAGGCUCACCAAGCCGACGAUCUGUAGCU